This is a long non-coding RNA of Crotalus tigris (Tiger rattlesnake), 2692 nucleotides long. RefSeq lists it as uncharacterized. The record is from RefSeq and is a predicted model, not a curated record. Lineage: Eukaryota; Metazoa; Chordata; Lepidosauria; Squamata; Viperidae. The transcript has 2 exons.
CCAUGAUCGUAACUCUGAAAAACAGCAAUAAGUCACGUUUUUCGGUGCCACUGUAACUUUGGUCACUAAAUGAAUUGUUGGGAGUCAAGGAGAAGUAAGAGUUGCAGACUAGAUUGGAAGGGCGACAACCCCGAAGAACGAUGAAAAAGAAAGUUUCAUGGAAGUGUCUCUAAUGAAGUUACACAUAAUCAAGCUCAUUUGGAAGGAGACAUUGCUUUCCAUUUGGGGCUACUGAAAAAAAAAGACUCCACUAGAGAGCUGUCUCUUGGCUUGUCCCCUAGCUGUAAAAGACAAAGGUCUCCUUGGUCAGUGUUGGAACUGUCAGGAGUAUCCUUAUCUGAGAUGGAUGGCAGCCCUGACCCUCUCUAAAACCUUUCCUCAGAAAUUGAAGCCUCUGCAUCCUAAAAUUGUGUUUUUAUUCUGCCCUCUAUUGCUAUAUAGUGGCUUUAUUGGAGGAGAAAAGUUUUGAAAUCCUAUGAGGGCUCCCUUUCCCAUCAGUUGUAAUUUUGUUUGACUUUAGGAUUAAUAUUAACAGAUUUUUUUUUUCUCAAGUUCUGGAGUAAGAUUCAGCAGUGAAGGAAAGGAACUUGACUAAAAGUGACAAUCAUUAAUUUAUGCAGAAAAAGCAGGCCUAAAGGUUCAAGCCAUUAUCAGUAUUGUAACCGUAUAGUACUCAAACAGGUUUGAGUACUAUACGGUCCCUAUCCUGUACAAGAAUACUAAAUUAUCAGCAUACAGGAACUGGCAAUUAUGAAGCAGACAUGAAACCUCUAAGCUGGGCUACCAUUUUGCAAAAUACAUCUGUUGUACUAGGAAUUUUUGGUGUAAAUGGAGACCAGGUUAGAAGAAAAUCAUCUGACUUCAAAACUCACUUAAACAAAUUUCUCACUUAGCAACAUAAAUUUUGGGGUCAGUUGUAGUCGUAGGUUGAGGACUAUAUGUAUUUCUACCCAAUUCUCUACCCCACUUCUUCUAUUUGUAAAGGUAACUAUGCAAAUAGAUCUAUUUCUAAUCUGUAUCAUGAAUCUAACCUUAAAUCUAUUUCACUACCAAUAAUGUUUUCCCCUUAAAUAUGACCCAUCAUUUUGCUACACCUAAUGUUCAACGAUAUGCUCUCCAGAGUGAAAGUAGCAUUGCUCUCCAGAGUGAAAGUAGCAUUUUUAAUUUGGAGAAAAAGGGAGAUACGAGGACUCAGUUUUAAAGAAAUAGAAAAAUCUUAUGAGACAGGCUACAUAUAGUGAUAGUAGGAUUCUUAAACAUAUUUUUUUGCUAACACAACUGUAAUCUCAUAAUUGAAGUCCUUUGGGGUUACCUGAAUAAGGGAAUCAUUCUGAUUUAUCUCCCCCCCUCCAACCAAACACAUGAUGCUGUGGUAGUGCGGACAGAAUGCCUGAAGGCUGUAAGAGUCUGGAUGAGGAAGUACCAGCUUCUAUUCAUCCAUGGCAAGGUGGAGUGGCUACGGGAUUUGUCGUCCAGACCCAGGUGCAAUUCAAGGUGGUCUUCCCCUUUAAUGCUCUAUAUGUCACAGGGCCAGGUUAUAUGAAGGCAUCUACAGGACAUUGGCCCGUCCUACUUGGUCAGACAGGGUGAGUAUGCUUUCGUUUCCUUCCCCUAAAUAUUGUUAUCUGGUGGGAGCUAGCAAGCAUGACUUUUCUGGGACAGCCAACUGCCCUAUGGAACACUGUGCACCAUAGAAGUUAGGCAAGCCUCUACCCUCCAGACCUUGCGUAAAGUUUUGAAGACCUGUUUUUUUCUUCCCCCAAGUGCUAGGGUAUUAUUAGGUGACUGCACAUCAUGAGCUUCACUUGGUGCCAGGUUUUUGUUGGUUUUUAAUGUCUUGGUUUUAUAGUUUUAAUGUGGUUUUGCAUAUUGUCUACUUUUGAUUGGAAGCCAUUCAGAACGGGUUACAAGAUGAACGGCUAUAAAAAAAGUUUUAAAUAAUUAAAAGGAAAAUGGAUACAAUGAAAAUGGAUCCUAAGAACAUUCUCAAAAUAUUGAGAUUAACAAAGAUUGAGAUCAUUAAAUUUACGGCUGUUGAAUUAUUUUCUCCCCAGACUUUUUGAAAAGGAUUCAAUAUAGGUAAUUUGUCUUUACUUUCAAUUCGGCAGUCCAGUUUGUUAAGCAAAUAAUUAUAUUUUUAGCAAAGCUGCAUGUAAAUGUUACAAAGCAACAUUUUAUGGUUUAUAAAAUGUAAUUUUAUUUAAUGUUAUUUUGUUACAUAGGGCAUUAACAUUUUCACAAGGCUUUUUUGGGACUACAAUCAAUGAUUAGCAACACACAAUAGUGGUCCAUCUACCUACAGAACAAAUCACUGGACGAACUUGACACCUUCAUACAUGUGCACAAAUCUGCAUGGAAAAGUUUUAUACUUGGACAUGUGACCACUUUCCCCAUUCCAGUGUUAAGAAAUGACAUGCAAUUUAGUCUGCCAAAAAGGCACUCCCUGUUUUCUGGCAGUAACAUGCUGCUUCUAAGACAUAAUCAAGUGAAUACCAGAACUACAAAGGCAGGAGUGUGAUAUUUUAUUGGGAGGGGAUAGCAAUUGGACAGCAGCAACUGAAGAGUAAGAAGAGUCCCUGUAUUUAAACACUCAAUAGCUCCUGCUGUACACAUAUGUAGGAAGCCACACUACUAUGCUUUCUAUGUAGCCCAAUACUCCCAUUUCCUACAGAAAGGAAUUAACAAUAGCAUG